This 450-nucleotide ribosomal RNA is filed under the name uncultured bacterium. RNAcentral describes it as "bacterial SSU rRNA". It matches the Rfam family "Bacterial small subunit ribosomal RNA", at positions 28 to 524 of the family's 1533-position model. The record is from RNAcentral.
GAUGAACGCUGGCGGUGUGCCUUAAGCAUGCAAGUCGAGCGUCUCGCAAGAGACAGCGGCAGACGGUGAGUAACACGUAGGAAUCUACCUCGAAAUGGGGGAUAGCCAGCCGAAAGGCUGAUUAAUACCGCAUAGUCCCGCAAGGUAAAGCAGCAAUGCGUUUCGAGAGGAGCCUGCGUCCUAUCAGGUAGUUGGUGAGGUAAUGGCUCACCAAGCCGAUGACGGGUAGCCGGAGUGAGAGCUUGAUCGGCCACAAAGUCACUGAGACACGGGACUUACACCUACGGGUGGCAGCAACUGGGAAUUUUGCGCAAUGGGCGAAAGCCUGACGCAGCGACACCGCGUGUGGGAAGAAGUAUUUAGGUAUGUAAACCACUGUGGCGAGGGAUGAAUUUUGACAGUACCUCGCUAGAAAGUACCUGCUAACUACGUGCCAGAAGCCUCGGUAAU